RNAcentral lists this long non-coding RNA (1048 nucleotides) under Numida meleagris (helmeted guineafowl). RNAcentral describes it as "lncRNA (ENSNMEG00000012330.1)". Lineage: Eukaryota; Metazoa; Chordata; Aves; Galliformes; Numididae. The record is from RNAcentral.
CCCCCUCAGACAUGGUGUAGCUAUGGAGGGAAUAGCUUCCUGCAGGCUCCGUGUCUCUUUGCUGCGCAGCCAACCAGACCUGUAAUUGGACCGUUUGCUUUGAGUCACCAAUUCUAACACGGUCAUCUGAUACCUCCUGGUAAAUGCUCAUUUCCAUCCCCCAUGGCUUGCUCAUCUCACUGCAAACUGACCUUCUCUGCGGGAGGAUCGGUGUUGUGUUAGCACAGCACCAUCACUGUGUGUGGCUCAGAUCAGUGCUGUUCUCUGUUUCUCUGAGAGCCACGGGCUCGGACACAGUUCCUGUUUUUUGGGGUGGGUGAUGGCAGAGGUCUGCAUGGAGUGUGUGCUCUGCUGGGUGCCAGCAAGGUGCACGUGGCCUGGUUGUGGCUUCUCACUGCUUGGCUGCACCGGGAGAGAGAAUCUUCACAGCGCUUGUGUUUUCCCACACCUGGAAAUCGGGGACCUGGCUUCCUUGGUGUGUGCAUGCUGUGACAGAGGACAAUCAUUAUUCAAGCCAAGUAAGUCAGGUGUGAAAGCGGAACCAAGUGUGCUGGGAAUCAUCUCGCUGCGCGCAACAGAUUUCAGCCUUUGAAUUAAGCACCAGUUCACUCUCAGUGCUACAGGGGAUAAAGAGAAUAUUCCAGUCCCUGCAUCCAUCACAGCUGCUCUGCCAAGCAAAGUUAACAAGUAAACAGUAAUCGGCCACAAUUAUUGCCCAUUACAUGCUCCCUUCACCUGAGAUCACACAACAAAGCACAAGUGUGGAGCCACAGGAGGAGCUGGGUGGCAAGGAGCUGUCAAGAUGAAAUAACAGCAAAAAGACCUGUCAAACGCUGCCUCUGUGAAAGACCUAAAUCCUCUCCUGAUGGCCCCUUGGUGCAGUGUACAAGAGCUACUUCUGUGUAAUUAUAAAUUGUCUGCAGGGCUUAUCUGAGAGGUUCAGGGUUGACAUUACAAUAAUAGGGUGGGUGAGCUUUAUUUAAGGGAUAAUGUUCCUGGCAGUGGUGUAUACAUGGCAAUAAAUGAGUGUGGCAAAUGAUUAACGGCA